CCUACGGGUGGCAGCAGUGAGGAAUAUUGGUCAAUGGGCGGAAGCCUGAACCAGCCAAGUAGCGUGCGGGAUGAAGGCCCUACGGGUCGUAAACCGCGUUUGCAGGGGGAUAACACCCUCCACGUGUGGAGGUCUGCAGGUACCGUGCGAAUAAGGGCAGGCUAAUUCCGUGCCAGCAGCCGCGGUAAUACGGCAGGGCCGAGCGUUAUCCGGAUUGAUUGGGCUAAAGGGGAGCGUAGGCGGGCGUUCAAGUCAGCUGUAAAAUCGCGCGGCUCAACCGCGCCCCGCCGUUGAAACUGGGCGCCUUGAGUUCACAACAGGCAGGCGGAAUUCGUGGUGUAGCGGU
Molecule: ribosomal RNA, 346 nt
Filed under: uncultured bacterium
Lineage: Bacteria
Description: partial 16S ribosomal RNA
Rfam family: Bacterial small subunit ribosomal RNA
Source: RNAcentral